Nerophis ophidion (straightnose pipefish) is the source of this 1464-nucleotide long non-coding RNA. RefSeq lists it as uncharacterized. The transcript is spliced from 3 exons. The record is from RefSeq and is a predicted model, not a curated record. NCBI's taxonomy places the organism in Eukaryota, Metazoa, Chordata, Actinopteri, Syngnathiformes, Syngnathidae.
UUCAAGCCUGCCUUCUACCUCGUUUCUGUCUGGAUGGUUUGUUUGAAAAUACUUGUGCUAAGUUAUGUCUUAGAUUCUCCCCUAGUUGUCCUCAAUCUAAGUUACGUCUUAGAUUCUCGUGCGCUCGGCACGUAACUUUGGACUUUUGGACUCCAUUGCUAAGUUUUAGGUUAGCUUACCGUGCGUAGGCACGCACUUUCUUUUGCUUUUGUACCAGUGUUCUUUUACUUUUUGUAUACUAAAUUAAGUCUUACCUGCAAUUCCUGCCUGUCUUGGUCCUCGUGCAUCUGGGGGUGACACAACGCGCAUACAAAAUGCGUUUCCAACGAGACAGUUACCUCUAAACAAAAAAUAUUGAUGCUAAUCCACCCUUUUUUUUUUUUUUUUUUUUCAAAUAAGAGUCAAUAAGAAAACCGUGAAGGAACUGAAUCGUUAAGCAGAAUCGAAAGUGGAAUUGGAACCGAAAAAAUAUUAUCAAUUCCCAUCCCUACCACAGACUGAAGACACAAUGUACAUUUUUGUGCUGAUCCACACUACUCACAAAGACGGUUGCUCAGCGACUCAGGGAGUGAGAAGGCCCGUUUUGAUUCUGCCGGGCCGCCCUUCACGCUGUCACGGAGCGACCGCACGCUCCUCUGGCAGUUCCUGGCAAAGCGUGCCCGUCGUAUUUUCCACAUUGCUGCAUCGCUGAGGAAAUGAAGCAGCAGGAGUUUGCUGAGGAUGACAGGACGAUCCCUCACUACAGUGUCAAACUGGAAAUCCAGGCAGAGGCACAAACCCUGGAAAAGAUACAAAAGCGGCAGGCCUCUUGAUGGUGUCCAGCAACAGUCUAGCCCGGGUGGCCACAGCAGGAUUGACGUCCUCCACCGAUGCCAGGAAACAGCAGAAGGCGUGUGCCAGGGAGUACUUCAGAAGGUGGUUUUUAGUUACGGCACCGAUGUCCAGGAAGCGACAUAGCACUGCCACCUUCUCCACUGGGAGAUCACAAUGUUGUCAUGGACAUAAAUUUAACAAAGAAAAACGCUGACAGUUGCAAAUAAUCACAAUGUACUGCUAAUAUGGACGAUACUGUAUAAACCACUUCACCAAAAUGUGAAACAUUUUAAUGAAAAUGCAACAUUCAUUAUCAAUAAUCCACUUGGAUUUUAGUAUACAAGUGUUUAGUGACAGUGCUGUAAUUGCUGCAGUACAUAACAGUGACCACUGGGUGUCAGUAAAAGUUCAAACAUUUGCAUGGCCUGUUGGUCACAAGAUCAAUCCUAAACUUUGUUUUUGUUUGUUUUUUCUUUUUCAAAAAAGAAAAUGUAUGUCCUCAUAUAUUUAUAGUUGUUUUUUCAUGUAAGACUGAAGUACCAUAGACCCAGUAGCCUGACCACACGACACUAUUUGUUUCCAUGGUGACAAAGAUAAGGUCUGUUUUGGCCUAUUAAUCAAUUGACAUGUUUGUGAAUGUCACAAGGUCUU